CUGGGAUCAUGACCUGAGCCGAAGGCAGACGCUUAACGACUGAGCCACCCAGGCGCCCUUGGGGGGAUUUUUAAAGGCAGACAGGACUGAUUCUUGUAACUGGGGUGUCACUGGAGGUAUGUUGUUGCCGCAGUGUCUGAGCAGCAGGAGAGAGCGUUCACGCUGGGACUAGCAGGACUUCUUGGCGAGGGAGUUUUUAACUUCGGAGAACUCCUCAUGCACCCCGUGCUGGAAUCACUGAGGAGCACCGACCGGCAGUGGCUGAUUGACACCCUUUAUGCCUUUAACAGUGGCAACGUAGAGAGAUUCCAGACGCUGAAGACCGCCUGGGGCCAGCAGCCUGAUUUAGCAGCCAACGAAGCCCAGCUUCUGAGGAAAAUUCAGUUGUUGUGCCUCAUGGAGGUAAGCAAGCACCCAGGAACCGCUCUGAUUUCAGACCCUGCAGGUGAGCUCACGGGGUCCUGCAAACUCUCCAAGCCUCCUGUAGGGAUAUUUUGGCUACACCCCCUCUCCACUACCUUCCUUUUUCUUCUGCCACCAUUGGCUUUUUUAAGUUUGUAUUUGAGUCUCAUCUUAGAUAAUGCUUCCUCAGAGAGGUAUUCCCUGCCAGUCUGAGCUAAAGUAGCUGCCACCUCAUUAUAUGUGCCAUUUGACAUGCUCUUCUGUGUUUCCCGACUAGAAUUUAAGCUUCUUGAGGAAAUGGACCUUACAUUUCUGGGCCACCACGCUGUUCCCAGCUCAAGGACAGCCCUGGCACACAGCAGCCUCAAGCACUUGCUCGGGGCAUGAAUACUGACCAUUGCCAACAACUGCUGUGAAGCUUAUUUCACCUUAGUAUCUGAGCAUGGGAAGCUUGUUCCUAAUAAGAUACAUGGCUAAUGUUUUUUUUUUUUUU
Leptonychotes weddellii (Weddell seal) is the source of this 895-nucleotide non-coding RNA. The record is from RefSeq and is a predicted model, not a curated record. NCBI's taxonomy places the organism in Eukaryota, Metazoa, Chordata, Mammalia, Carnivora, Phocidae.